UAACAAAAACAUGUCCUUUUGAUUAUAAUUUAAGGUCUAAUCUGCCCACUGAGGAAUUAAAUGGCCGCGGUAUUUUGACCGUGCAAAGGUAGCAUAAUAAUUAGUUUUUUAAUUGGAAGCUGGAAUGAAAGAUUGGAUGAGAAAAUAGCUGUCUCAAAUUAAAUUUUUUAGAAUUUUAUUUUUAAGUUAAAAAGCUUAAAUGUUUUUAAAAGACGAGAAGACCCUAUAGAGUUUAAUAUUUUUAAUUAAUUUAAUUUUUUUGAUUUGAGUAGUUUAAUUAUUUAGAAUUAUUUUGUUGGGGUGACAGAAAAAUUAAAUAAACUUUUUCUUUAUUUUUAUAUUAAUAAAUAGAUUAUUGAUCCAAGUUUCUUGAUUAUAAGAUAAAAUUACCUUAGGGAUAACAGCGUAAUUUUUUUUGAGAGUUCUUAUCGAAAAAAAAGAUUGCGACCUCGAUGUUGGAUUAAAGUUAAAUUUUGGUGUAGAAGCUAAAAGGUUAGGUCUGUUCGACCUUUAAAACUUUACAUGAUCUGAGUUCAGACCGG
Molecule: ribosomal RNA, 542 nt
Filed under: Spinoza sp. UPOL001152
Lineage: Eukaryota; Metazoa; Arthropoda; Insecta; Coleoptera; Cleridae
Description: partial 16S ribosomal RNA
Rfam family: Bacterial large subunit ribosomal RNA
Source: RNAcentral